This is a long non-coding RNA of Tupaia belangeri chinensis (Chinese tree shrew), 577 nucleotides long. RefSeq lists it as uncharacterized. The record is from RefSeq and is a predicted model, not a curated record. The transcript has 3 exons. Lineage: Eukaryota; Metazoa; Chordata; Mammalia; Scandentia; Tupaiidae.
GACAGCCUAAUGAUUACGUUGCUGGACUCCCAUGUAGUCAACCGCGGUUCAAGUCCCAGACCCGGCUGCUUAGAACUCACACCAGGGGCGUGCGCGUGCACGCCCAAACCCCCGGGGAGAAUGGAGAAGGGAUUGUGGUGUGGCCAUCCCCUGUCUUUCUGUGUCUCUCCAUCUCUCUGGCAAGAGCCGUGGAGCAUCUUCUCCCGCAGAGCAGAGGGCGCAGCGUUCUGAGUGGGCACCCUCUUCCGGGACUGCUGCCUGGCAGAGGCACAUGUACUCACCAGAGAGAACAGAGGGGGAAAAUGAGGGGAGAAGUGAAGGGGAAGAGACGGUCAUGGUCACACGCAUCGCUCCUCCUCCGUCGCCCCAUGGUUUUGAGCACCCACCGCACUCGAACCGCGGAACAGCCUGUUCCGCAUGACAGGUGUUAAGCAUGGGAAGACCCACUGCGUGGAGAAGAGAGCAGAACUCGGAAGACAGGAAAAGGGCACGCUCAGGGUCACGAGAGGGCACUCUGGGUGUGCAAAGGAGCACCUGCGCAACGGCGUGCAGAGGUGCAGCUGAGAGCAGCCCUCCC